RNAcentral lists this ribosomal RNA (497 nucleotides) under uncultured bacterium. RNAcentral's name for it is "partial 16S ribosomal RNA". It matches the Rfam family "Bacterial small subunit ribosomal RNA", at positions 28 to 507 of the family's 1533-position model. The record is from RNAcentral.
GAUGAACGCUGGCGGCGUGCCUAAUACAUGCAAGUCGAGCGAACAGACGAGGAGCUUGCUCCUCUGACGUUAGCGGCGGACGGGUGAGUAACACGUGGAUAACCUACCUAUAAGACUGGGAUAACUUCGGGAAACCGGAGCUAAUACCGGAUAAUAUAUUGAACCGCAUGGUUCAAUAGUGAAAGACGGUUUUGCUGUCACUUAUAGAUGGAUCCGCGCCGCAUUAGCUAGUUGGUAAGGUAACGGCUUACCAAGGCAACGAUGCGUAGCCGACCUGAGAGGGUGGUCGGCCGCACUGGAACUGAGACACGGACCAGACUCCUACGAGAGGCAGCAGUAGGGAAUCUUCCGCAAUGGGCGAAAGCCUGACGGAGCAACGCCGAGUGAGUGAUGAAGGUCUUCGGAUCGUAAAACUCUGUUAUUAGGGAAGAACAAAUGUGUAAGUAACUAUGCACGUCUUGACGGUACCUAAUCAGAAAGCCACGGCUAACUACGUG